AGUGAACGCUGGCGGUAGGCCUAACACAUGCAAGUCGAACGGCAGCACAGUAAGAGCUUGCUCUUACGGGUGGCGAGUGGCGGACGGGUGAGGAAUACAUCGGAAUCUACUUUUUCGUGGGGGAUAACGUAGGGAAACUUACGCUAAUACCGCAUACGACCUACAGGUGAAAGCAGGGGAUCUUCGGACCUUGCGCGAUUGGAUGAGCCGAUGUCGGAUUAGCUAGUUGGCGGGGUAAAGGCCCACCAAGGCGACGAUCCGUAGCUGGUCUGAGAGGAUGAUCAGCCACACUGGAACUGAGACACGGUCCAGACUCCUACGGGAGGCAGCAGUGGGGAAUAUUGGACAAUGGGCGCAAGCCUGAUCCAGCCAUACCGCGUGGGUGAAGAAGGCCUUCGGGUUGUAAAGCCCUUUUGUUGGGAAAGAAAAGCAGCAGGUUAAUACCCCGCUGUUCUGACGGUACCCAAAGAAUAAGCACCGGCUAACUUCGUG
This 492-nucleotide ribosomal RNA is filed under the name uncultured bacterium. RNAcentral's name for it is "partial 16S ribosomal RNA". It matches the Rfam family "Bacterial small subunit ribosomal RNA", at positions 29 to 507 of the family's 1533-position model. The record is from RNAcentral.